Molecule: long non-coding RNA, 6388 nt
Filed under: Nilaparvata lugens (brown planthopper)
Lineage: Eukaryota; Metazoa; Arthropoda; Insecta; Hemiptera; Delphacidae
Description: uncharacterized LOC120354464
Source: RNAcentral
CCCCCCUUUUAGGAUUCUUCCCAAAAUGAAUAAUUUUAAAUGAAUUAAUUAAAACCCUUGUAAUUCUCCCCAGAAUUAUAAUUUUAACCUCAUAAUCUCAAUAUUUAUGUAUAUUCAAAUUAAUUAUUUACAUAUAAGCAAUUUUCCCUAAAAAAGAAAAAUUUUAAGAAUAAUACAGCUAAAUCUUUUUCUAUUCUAAAUUAAUAGUAUUUCCUAUAAUAUUAAUUUUUUGAAUAUAAAUCCCUUAGAAAACACAUUCACCUUUAAUUUGCAAUUUAAAAUCAUAUUUGAAUAUAAGGUUUAGAAAAAACCGAGAUUCCAAUUAUAUAAACUAUAUUUACCUAUAAAAUUGAAUGUACUCCCUAGGUUAAAGCCUAAAAUUAAUUUAAUAGGAGGAAGUUUCGUAAUCUAUAAGGCCCCCCCCUUUUUAGGAUUCUUCCAAAAUGAAUUAAUUAAAACCCCUUAUAAUUCUCCCCAGAAUUAUAAUUUUAACCUCCAUAAUCUCAAUAUUCAUGUAUAUUCAAAUCAAUUAUUUACAUAUAAGCAAUUUUCCCUAAAAAAGAAAAAUUUUAAGAAUAAUACAGCUAAAUCUUUUUCUAUUCUAAAUUUAAUAGUAUUUCCUAUAAUAUUAAUUUUUUGAAUAUAAAUCCCUUAGAAAACACAUUCACCUUUAAUUUGCAAUUUAAAAUCAUAUUUGAAUAUAAGGUUUAGAAAAAACCGAGAUUCCAAUUAUAUAAACUAUAUUUACCUAUAAAAUUGAAUGUACUCCCUAGGUUAAAGCCUAAAAUUAAUUUAAUAGGAGGAAGUUUCGUAAUCUAUAAGGCCCCCCCCUUUUUAGGAUUCUUCCAAAAUGAAUUAAUUAAAACCCCUUAUAAUUCUCCCCAGAAUUAUAAUUUUAACCUCAUAAUCUCAAUAUUCAUGUAUAUUCAAAUCAAUUAUUUACAUAUAAGCAAUUUUCCCUAAAAAAGAAAAAUUUUAAGAAUAAUACAGCUAAAUCUUUUUCUAUUCUAAAUUAAUAGUAUUUCCUAUAAUAUUAAUUUUUUGAAUAUAAUCCCUUAGAAAACACAUUCACCUUUAAAUUUGCAAUUUAAAAUCAUAUUUGAAUAUAAGGUUUAGAAAAAACCGAGAUUCCAAUUAUAUAACUAUAUUUACCUAUAAAAUUGAAUGUACUCCCUAGGUUAAAGCCUAAAAUUAAUUUAAUAGGAGGAAGUUUCGUAAUCUAUAAGGCCCCCCCCUUUUUAGGAUUCUUCCCAAAAUGAAUUAAUUAAAACCCCUUAUAAUUCUCCCCAGAAUUAUAAUUUUAACCUCAUAAUCUCAAUAUUCAUGUAUAUUCAAAUCAAUUAUUUACAUAUAAGCAAUUUUCCCUAAAAAAGAAAAAUUUUAAGAAUAAUACAGCUAAAUCUUUUUCUAUUCUAAUUUAAUAGUAUUUCCUAUAAUAUUAAUUUUUUGAAUAUAAUCCCUUAGAAAACACAUUCACCUUUAAAUUUGCAAUUUAAAAUCAUAUUUGAAUAUAAGGUUUAGAAAAAACCGAGAUUCCAAUUAUAUAACUAUAUUUACCUAUAAAAUUGAAUGUACUCCCUAGGUUAAAGCCUAAAAUUAAUUUAAUAGGAGGAAGUUUCGUAAUCUAUAAGGCCCCCCCCUUUUUAGGAUUCUUCCCAAAAUGAAUUAAUUAAAACCCCUUAUAAUUCUCCCCAGAAUUAUAAUUUUAACCUCAUAAUCUCAAUAUUCAUGUAUAUUCAAAUCAAUUAUUUACAUAUAAGCAAUUUUCCCUAAAAAAGAAAAAUUUUAAGAAUAAUACAGCUAAAUCUUUUUCUAUUCUAAAUUUAAUAGUAUUUCCUAUAAUAUUAAUUUUUUGAAUAUAAUCCCUUAGAAAACACAUUCACCUUUAAAUUUGCAAUUUAAAAUCAUAUUUGAAUAUAAGGUUUAGAAAAAACCGAGAUUCCAAUUAUAUAACUAUAUUUACCUAUAAAAUUGAAUGUACUCCCUAGGUUAAAGCCUAAAAUUAAUUUAAUAGGAGGAAGUUUCGUAAUCUAUAAGGCCCCCCCCUUUUUAGGAUUCUUCCAAAAUGAAUUAAUUAAAACCCCUUAUAAUUCUCCCCAGAAUUAUAAUUUUAACCUCAUAAUCUCAAUAUUCAUGUAUAUUCAAAUCAAUUAUUUACAUAUAAGCAAUUUUCCCUAAAAAAGAAAAAUUUUAAGAAUAAUACAGCUAAAUCUUUUUCUAUUCUAAAUUUAAUAGUAUUUCCUAUAAUAUUAAUUUUUUGAAUAUAAUCCCUUAGAAAACACAUUCACCUUUAAUUUGCAAUUUAAAAUCAUAUUUGAAUAUAAGGUUUAGAAAAAACCGAGAUUCCAAUUAUAUAAACUAUAUUUACCUAUAAAAUUGAAUGUACUCCCUAGGUUAAAGCCUAAAAUUAAUUUAAUAGGAGGAAGUUUCGUAAUCUAUAAGGCCCCCCCCUUUUUAGGAUUCUUCCCAAAAUGAAUUAAUUAAAACCCCUUAUAAUUCUCCCCAGAAUUAUAAUUUUAACCUCAUAAUCUCAAUAUUCAUGUAUAUUCAAAUCAAUUAUUUACAUAUAAGCAAUUUUCCCUAAAAAAGAAAAAUUUUAAGAAUAAUACAGCUAAAUCUUUUUCUAUUCUAAAUUUAAUAGUAUUUCCUAUAAUAUUAAUUUUUUGAAUAUAAAUCCCUUAGAAAACACAUUCACCUUUAAUUUGCAAUUUAAAAUCAUAUUUGAAUAUAAGGUUUAGAAAAAACCGAGAUUCCAAUUAUAUAAACUAUAUUUACCUAUAAAAUUGAAUGUACUCCCUAGGUUAAAGCCUAAAAUUAAUUUAAUAGGAGGAAGUUUCGUAAUCUAUAAGGCCCCCCCCCUUUUUAGGAUUCUUCCCAAAAUGAAUUAAUUAAAACCCCUUAUAAUUCUCCCCAGAAUUAUAAUUUUAACCUCAUAAUCUCAAUAUUCAUGUAUAUUCAAAUCAAUUAUUUACAUAUAAGCAAUUUUCCCUAAAAAAGAAAAAUUUUAAGAAUAAUACAGCUAAAUCUUUUUCUAUUCUAAAUUUAAUAGUAUUUCCUAUAAUAUUAAUUUUUUGAAUAUAAAUCCCUUAGAAAACACAUUCACCUUUAAUUUGCAAUUUAAAAUCAUAUUUGAAUAUAAGGUUUAGAAAAAACCGAGAUUCCAAUUAUAUAACUAUAUUUACCUAUAAAAUUGAAUGUACUCCCUAGGUUAAAGCCUAAAAUUAAUUUAAUAGGAGGAAGUUUCGUAAUCUAUAAGGCCCCCCCCCUUUUUAGGAUUCUUCCCAAAAUGAAUUAAUUAAAACCCCUUAUAAUUCUCCCCAGAAUUAUAAUUUUAACCUCAUAAUCUCAAUAUUCAUGUAUAUUCAAAUCAAUUAUUUACAUAUAAGCAAUUUUCCCUAAAAAAGAAAAAUUUUAAGAAUAAUACAGCUAAAUCUUUUUCUAUUCUAAAUUUAAUAGUAUUUCCUAUAAUAUUAUUUUUUGAAUAUAAUCCCUUAGAAAACACAUUCACCUUUAAUUUGCAAUUUAAAAUCAUAUUUGAAUAUAAGGUUUAGAAAAAACCGAGAUUCCAAUUAUAUAACUAUAUUUACCUAUAAAAUUGAAUGUACUCCCUAGGUUAAAGCCUAAAAUUAAUUUAAUAGGAGGAAGUUUCGUAAUCUAUAAGGCCCCCCCCCUUUUUAGGAUUCUUCCCAAAAUGAAUUAAUUAAAACCCCUUAUAAUUCUCCCCAGAAUUAUAAUUUUAACCUCAUAAUCUCAAUAUUCAUGUAUAUUCAAAUCAAUUAUUUACAUAUAAGCAAUUUUCCCUAAAAAAGAAAAAUUUUAAGAAUAAUACAGCUAAAUCUUUUUCUAUUCUAAAUUAAUAGUAUUUCCUAUAAUAUUAAUUUUUUGAAUAUAAAUCCCUUAGAAAACACAUUCACCUUUAAAUUUGCAAUUUAAAAUCAUAUUUGAAUAUAAGGUUUAGAAAAACUAAGGAUUUAAGUUAUCUAAACUAUUAACCUUCAAAGUUGAAAAUAUUCCUUAGGUUUAAGCCUUAGAUUAAGUUUAAUAGGAGGAAAUUAACCCUUAAAUAAAUUUACAAUUUAUUACCUAAAUCAGACACCCUAUUUAGAUUUUAGUUAAUGAAAAAAUGGCUAAUAUCUACUAAUCAUAAAGACAUUGGAACCCUUUACUUUAUCCUAGGUAUUUGGUCAGGAUUUAUAGGAACCAUAAGUAGUAUAAUUAUCCGAUCAGAAUUAACUCAACCAGGAUCUCUAAUUAAAAAUGAUCAAAUCUAUAAUGUUUUAAUUACAUCACAUGCUUUUAUUAUAAUUUUCUUUAUAGUAAUACCAAUUCUAAUUGGAGGUUUUGGUAAUUGAUUAGUACCCUUAAUAAUUGGUGCACCAGAUAUAGCCUUCCCACGAAUAAAUAAUAUAAGAUUCUGACUUUUACCCCCAUCUUUAAUUUUAUUAAUUUCAAGAUCACUCACUGGAACUGGUUCUGGAACAGGUUGAACCGUUUAUCCCCCCCUUUCUAGAGUAACAUCCCAUUCCGGACCAUCUGUAGAUUUAACCAUUUUUUCUCUUCACAUCGCAGGGGUUAGAUCAAUUAUAGGUGCAAUUAAUUUUAUUUCAACAAUUUUAAACAUGCGAUCAAAAAAUAUUUCAAUAGAAAAAUUACCUCUAUUCUGUUGAUCUGUAUUAAUUACAGCUAUUUUACUCCUUCUAUCCCUUCCUGUUCUAGCUGGAGCAAUUACUAUACUAUUAACUGACCGAAAUCUAAAUACAUCAUUUUUUGACCCCACCGGGGGUGGAGACCCAAUCCUCUACCAGCAUUUAUUCUGAUUCUUUGGUCACCCAGAAGUUUACAUCCUUAUUCUUCCAGGAUUUGGAUUAAUUUCUCAUAUUAUUAUACAAGAAAGAGGAAAAAGGGAAACUUUCGGAUCUAUUGGAAUAAUUUAUGCAAUAAUUGCAAUUGGAAUUUUAGGUUUUAUUGUUUGAGCUCACCAUAUAUUUACUGUAGGUAUAGAUAUUGAUACCCGAGCCUAUUUUACGUCAGCUACUAUAAUUAUUGCGGUCCCCACCGGAAUCAAAAUUUUUAGAUGAAUCGCAACAAUUUACGGUUCCAAAAUGAACUUUUCCCCCCAAAUAAUUUGAUCAUUAGGAUUCAUUUUACUUUUUACUAUUGGAGGAUUAACAGGUGUAAUAUUAUCAAAUUCCUCAAUUGAUAUUAUUCUACAUGAUACCUAUUAUGUAGUGGCUCAUUUUCACUAUGUCCUUUCCAUGGGAGCAGUAUUCACCAUUAUCGCUAGAUUUAUCCAUUGAUACCCCUUAUUUACAGGUAGAAACAUAAAUAAUAAAUGACUAAAAAUUCAAUUUUAUUCCAUAUUUCUAGGAGUAAAUUUAACAUUUUUUCCCCAACAUUUUUUAGGAUUAACUGGUAUACCACGACGAUACUCUGACUAUCCAGAUAUAUACACCCUGUGAAACCUUUUUUCUUCUAUGGGUUCAUUCAUUUCCUUAAUUAGAAUUUUAAUAUUAAUGUUUAUUAUAUGAGAAAGAUUAAGAUUUAAACGAAAAAUGGUGUUUAAAACAAUCAACCUCAAUCAAUUGAAUGAAAAAUAAAUUUACCCCCUAGAGAACACUCCUUUAAUGAAAUUCCUAUAUUAAUUAAGUUCUAAUAUGGCAGAAUAGUGUAAUGAAUUUAAAAUUCAUUUAUGAAACCAUAAAUUUCUUUUAGAAAUUUCAUGAACUAAAUUAUAUUUACCUGACGCCUAUAGCCCCACUAUAGAGCAAUUAACUUUUUUUCAUGACCACACCAUGUCUAUUAUUAUUUCAAUUACAACCAUAAUUGUAUUUUUAUUAAAUUCACUAAUUUAUAAUAAACUUAUUGACUUAAAUAUUAAUGAAAAUCAAGUUAUUGAAACUUGAUGAACUAUUCUACCAACAAUUAUUCUUUUCUUCGUUGCAAUUCCUUCACUUAAAAUUCUAUAUUCUAUAGAAGAACUAAUUAAUCCAACAAUUUCAAUUAAAUCUAUAGGUCAUCAAUGAUACUGAUCUUAUGAAUAUUCUGAUAAACUAAAAAAAGAAUUUGAUUCUUACAUAAAAUAUUCUAAAAUUAGUGACUUUCGACUAAUUGAAGUUGAUAACCGAAUAAAGGCCCCCUUCCUUACCCAACUACGAAUGAUUUUUUCAUCCUCAGAUGUAUUACAUUCCUGAACAAUUCCUAGUUUAGGAGUAAAAAUAGAUGCAAUUCCAGGACGACUAAACCAAUCAAGCAUAUUAAUUAAAAAACCCGGAUUAUUUACUGGUCAAUGCUCCGAAAUCUGUGGAACAAAUCAUAGAUUUAUACCUAUUAUACUUGAAUCUGUCAAACUAGAAAAAUUUGUAAAAUGAAUAAAAUAAAGUAAAUUAGU